This 278-nucleotide ribosomal RNA is filed under the name uncultured bacterium. RNAcentral's name for it is "partial 16S ribosomal RNA". It matches the Rfam family "Bacterial small subunit ribosomal RNA", at positions 334 to 626 of the family's 1533-position model. The record is from RNAcentral.
UUUGCCUACGGGAGGUAGCAGUGGGGAAUAUUGGACAAUGGGGGGAACCCUGAUCCAGCGACGCCGCGUGAGUGAAGAAGUAUUUCGGUACGUAAAGCUCUAUCAGCAGGGAAGAAAGAAAUGACGGUACCUGACUAAGAAGCCCCGGCUAACUACGUGCCAGCAGCCGCGGUAAUACGUAGGGGGCAAGCGUUAUCCUGCUUUACUGGGUGUAAAGGUAGCGUAGACGGCGAUGCAAGUCUGAAGUGAAAGGCGGGGGCCCAACCCCCGGACUGCUU